UUAUGAACAACGCAAAAAUAACCGUCUACGUUUCUUGUUUAAAACAAUCCGGCUCGAGGCACCUGCCGACGACUGUUGGGUUUCCGAGAUUCAUAAGACGAAGAUUGAAGCGAACAAUCUUGGGUGCGGUGUUCCUCGGUCCCAAGUGGCCCAAUGAGGAGGAUCGCAAUGAUUGAACGUACAU
RNAcentral lists this small RNA (184 nucleotides) under [Torrubiella] hemipterigena. RNAcentral's name for it is "Torrubiella hemipterigena A. fumigatus sRNA Afu_182". It matches the Rfam family "A. fumigatus sRNA Afu_182". Lineage: Eukaryota; Fungi; Ascomycota; Sordariomycetes; Hypocreales; Clavicipitaceae. The record is from Rfam by way of RNAcentral.